Long non-coding RNA from Bos taurus (domestic cattle), 925 nucleotides. The record is from Ensembl. Lineage: Eukaryota; Metazoa; Chordata; Mammalia; Artiodactyla; Bovidae.
GGAAUACAGAGUCGUGUCAUUGCUGGGAGUCGGAGCGUCAGUGUUGUUUGAUGUCUGGGCCCAUGGUGUUUUGCUGCAGGAGGGGGCGGGACCAGCUCGCUGAGGCGUCUGCUGCGAUUUUUGUAGCUGUUUCUGAAAACACUGGAGAUGGAUUCACUGGUGACAGCGCUGUGGCGGUGAUCUUCCUAAACAAACAAAAGAACAACAGCAAUGAAAUGAAAAGGCGGCUGUCUCCUUGGUCUGCUCCCCCAGCGCCCCCGCCAGCCCUCCGUCCCUCCGGUGUUCUUUCCGGGAGGGGGUGGACGUCACUCGCGUCCCUAUGGUCCGCUCCUUUCUCGCACGUGUGCGUGUAUCCACCGACAGCUCGCAGGGUGGGGUUGCACCUUCUAAGCGUGCAGAUGCGCACCUGCGCUGUACGCGCCACCCUGCACUGGUCCCUGCCGUCCAGGUCACGCCUGACGGCCUCCCCCCCCACCCACCCCCCGCCCCUCGUGAAGCCCCGGCUCGUGUCCACGGAUGGCCGUGCAGGGUCACGAUUCAUGGUCACAGCGGUCGCCUCUGAUUGUGCGCUGUUACAAUGAACAUCUUUGGACGUGUCGGGGGGCGGACAGUGUCGGAGACGGUCCGGGGACUUCCAGGGAGACGGCAGCAGGGUGAGGAGCCUGGGGGCCGCCCUCUCACGCUCUCCCCCGCCGUCUGGAGGGAAGCCGGGCCCCACCGUGAGCUCCCUGCGCGGAGGGCCGUUUUUCCCCUGCCUGCUCAGGCCGCUGCGUCCUUAGCGGAAGUGGGACGGCCCCUUGGACUCCGCUGGCGCCUCUGCGGCUCUCACCGCACUCGGGUCACUGGAGCACAAGCGGAGCGCUUUCUCCGGGGCGGGGUCCCUCCCAGGCCCUCGGGGCCGGGCGCUCUCACACCUUCAGGCCCA